RNA transcript from Dipodomys ordii (Ord's kangaroo rat), 750 nucleotides. It is a transcript of the gene named 40S ribosomal protein S2-like, with no coding region annotated. The transcript is spliced from 2 exons. NCBI's taxonomy places the organism in Eukaryota, Metazoa, Chordata, Mammalia, Rodentia, Heteromyidae. The record is from RefSeq and is a predicted model, not a curated record.
AUGCGAGGAACCUCACCUGACAAGGAAUGGAUCCCCAUCACCAAACUGGGCCGCCUGGUUAAGGUCUCUGGAGGAGAUCUAGCUUUCCUCCCUGUCCAUCAAGGAGUCUGAGAUUAUUGACUUCUUCCUGGGAGUGUCACUCAAGGAUGAGGGGUUGAAGAUUAUGCCGUGCAGAAGCAGACUCAAGCUGGCCAGUGCACCAGGUUCAAGGCAUUUGUAGUCAUUGGCAACUACAAUGGCCAUGUUGGUCUGGGGGUUAAGUGCUCCAAGGAGGAGGCCACUGCCAUCCGGGGGGCCAUCAUCUUGGCCAAGCUCUCCAUCGUCCCUGUGCGGCGAGGUUACUGGGGGAACAGGAUUGGCAAGCCUCACACUGUCCCAUGCAAGGUGACAGGCCGCUGCGGUUCUGGGCUGGUGCGCCUCAUCCCCACCCCCAGAGGCACUGGGAUCCUGUCAGCACCUGUCCCCAAGAAGCUGCUGUUGAUGGCUGGCAUCGAUGACUGCUACACCUCAGCCGGGGGCUGUACUGCUACCUUGGGGAACUUCGCCAAAGCCACCUUUGAUGCCAUCUCUAAGACCUACAGUUACCUGACCCCUGACCUCUGGAAAGAGACCAUAUUCACCAACUCUCCUUAUCAGGAAUUCACUGACCAUCUUGUGAAAACCCACACCAGAGUCUCCGUGCAGAGGACCCAGGCUCCAGCUGUGGCUACAACAUAGAAUUUUAUACAAAAAUAAGAAAGUGAAUCAAGC